RNAcentral lists this long non-coding RNA (1057 nucleotides) under Ficedula albicollis (Collared flycatcher). Its description in RNAcentral is "lncRNA (ENSFALG00000024006.1)". Lineage: Eukaryota; Metazoa; Chordata; Aves; Passeriformes; Muscicapidae. The record is from RNAcentral.
GGUGGUCCCGAGCAGCCUCUUCUUUUCGCGGCCGAGGAAAGGAACUGGUCAUCGCGAGGAGACGGGAAGAGCAGGCGAUGUCACCAAGGCCGGGAGAGAUGGCCUGGGACCAGGCAUAACUGGAGGGGUGUGAUGGCUAGAAACCUUUGAUUUGGGGUUUGCCCGGAGAACGGGGGUGGAGGAGGGUGGCCCGGGUUUUUUAAGGCAAGCAGAAAUUUGAUUAUAGCGUACGGCAGAGCUCUGUGAUUUGCGGUGAGCGGAUUUCAUUAGCUACGGCCGUUUGAGUCCCGGGAAAGCUGCUCAAGCCGCGGGGCCGGGAAUGAAGCUGACCCCGAAAGGGGCUCGGUUCUCCGGGCCGGGGAGAGCGCGGCGGCUCCUCGCUGCUGCGGGAGCGGAGCGGGCUGGGCACGGCCCCUGCCGCUCCCCUUUUCCCCCUGCUGAACCGCUCUUCCGAUCUGCUCCCCUUUUCCCCGCAAUCGGCCCCGUCCCGCCUUUCCCGGCGGACGGGACAGCCCCUGUGCCUGUGCUUGCUUUCCGCGGGGAGAGUGUGUCACAGGGCUCCUUUGCACUCGUGUCACCUGCCGCAGCCGUCACCGAGUCGGGAGAGAGCGUUUGGCGCUGCUCGCCGCGGCGUUCACCUGCGGCGUUUCCACUUUUGAUGGUGGGUGGUGAUGGUGGAGGCAGCAACGGGCAGGAGGGGCCCGGAGGGGCCGCCCAGCCCAGCCCAGCCCAGCCCAGCCCGGUCCGGUCCGGCCCGGACCGAAGGGGUGCCUGGCGAGCCGCCGGCGCUGCGGCGGGCCCCCCCCCCCCCCCCCCCCCCCCCCCCCCCCCCCCCCCCCCCCCCCCCCCCCCCCCCCCCCCCCCCCCCCCCCCCCCCCCCCCCCCCCCCCCCCCCCCCCCCCCCCCCCCCCCCCCCCCCCCCCCCCCCCCCCCCCCCCCCCCCCCCCGAGCCGCCGGCGCUGCGGCGGGAUCGGCUCUGAUUGCCGUCAACGAAUGUCACCGGCAGAAGGAAAAACAAAAGCUGCCUCCAAAGAUCGCCGAGCAGAAUUUGGCAAGG